AAAAAAAAAAAAAAAAAAGAACUCCUCCCUCCCUUUCUUCCCUCCCCUCCCACAUCAUCCUUCACCAUUGUAAGGCGAUCCACUUUAGCCUCUAUUAUGGUUGUUUUGUGUUUUUCAUUUAUUUGCUAGGAAACACCUGCAUAAUGUGUUUUAUAUGUAGAGUUGCAAUUUUUUUUAAUAAUGUUUUUGUAGCAACACCUAACAAAUGCAAUCUACUUUUGGAAACUAAAAUUCAUAUUUUUCUACCUUUUACAUUGGUGGUUUCAACUUUCAAGGCAUCCGGGAGAAAAUUUUGCGGCUGUCUCCUUUACCUUUAACACCCUUCAUUCCUUUUCUAUUUCCUUAGUGCUGUCUGUUUCACCAUACUACCCUGCACAACAUUGAAUGUGAUCUCCAAGCAUAUUUAAGUAUUUAACUUAAUUGACAUUCUGUUGAAGGAUUCAACUUUUGGUAUUAUUACAAAUCACCUCAUCCUCACAGUCUCUCUUUAUCAUGGUUGUAUAUAGCUGAAAUAAAAAUCCAGUUGCUGUAUCUUCUUUUCAUGCAGAGCCUUGGAGAACUGAUUACUAGCAAUUUUGUGUACUUCCAUUUCCAUGCGAGUUGCUAGUUGAUCCCCAUCCUUGGCAUUAAGAAACAGCUCUAGAUAUAAACUUUAUCUUGGUGCCAGUUGUACUCAUGCCUAUGUAUAGAACAGAUGGGGAGGUCUCUCUCUCUAUGAUAAUACUCGAUUAUGUUCGCAAAAAAUAAUGAAAAAGUGAAUAUAGCAAUUAAUAGAAUUGUGCAUGUAUGUGUUUAUUUUGAAGUUCUUAAUGGGCAACAUAAUUCAUAAAUAACUUCUUUUUCGCAUAAUAUUUUAUAUUCACUUUAAUUAUUCUGUGUUGUGCAUAUAUGUUCUAAUUAUUUUAGUUUUAUUGUACUUUUGUUAUUUCUCUGGGCAAUGGGAUCAGGCAUCUGUGGAAGAACCUCCUCCUGAAAAACCAUCUAAGAAACCUGUGACAAAACCUACAGAAAAGAAAGGCAAAACUGCAAAGGAAGAGCCUCAGCCUCUAGAUCCUGUUGCUGAGAAACUUCGCCAACAAAGGUACCAAAUUAAUAUUUUCAUUUCUGCUUAUCUUGGGGACUCGUUUAUAUCAGUUUUAAUUUUAAUAUAGGGGACAAUUUUAUUAUGCAAAUAUAAAAGCAUUAAUAAACUGAAAAAUUUAGCAUUAUUAUCCACUGUCAUAACAUUUAGAUUUGAAAUUUAGAAUGUUUUGGUGAAUAGAAUUGAAUUAGUUUAGGGUUUCAAUCGUGGCUGGAAGCAAUGUUUUGAUGGCUGCCUUCUCCAGGAAUUUAGUAAUGAACAGAUAAGUUUAGCAUUAUUAUCCUCUGUCAUGACAUCGAGACUUGAAUUUUGGAAUGUUUUGGUGGAUGGGAGCAAAUAGGUUUAGGGUUUCUAUUGUGGUUGGAAGCAAUAUCUUGAUUAUACUUAACAACAACAACAACUACUACUAUUGCUGCUGCUAAGCCUUAAUGCCAAACUAGUUGGAGUAGGCUAUAUGAAUCCUUUUUUGUCAUUCAGCUCUGUUAGACACUAGGUCCGCCGGUUUAUUUUUAUUUUCCCGUGGUUUCUGGUAAGCAAGAGAUUCUUUUUGAAAGUUUGGCAACAAUGCAGGUUAGUAGAAGAAGCUGAUUACAAAUCUACUACGGAACUGUUUGCUAAGAGAGGCGAUGAGAAGACACUAGAUAACUUCAUUCCCAAAUCUGAGAGUGACUUCUUGGAAUAUGCAGAACUUAUUUCACAUAAGCUUCGUCCAUAUGAGAAAAGUUUCCAUUAUAUUGGUUUACUCAAGGCAGUAAUGAGAUUGUCAAUGACUUCUUUGAAAGCAGCAGAUGCAAAAGAUGUUGCAUCUUCUGUAACUGCAAUUGCAAAUGAAAAGCUGAAGGCAGAGAAAGAAGCCAAUACUAAAAAGAAGA
This 1953-nucleotide unclassified non-coding RNA is filed under the name Hevea brasiliensis (rubber tree). Lineage: Eukaryota; Viridiplantae; Streptophyta; Magnoliopsida; Malpighiales; Euphorbiaceae. The record is from RNAcentral.